GGUGGCAGAGGCCUGGGGCACCAGCAUGUCCCCAGGGAGAGCAGGGCUAGAAGCCUUUCCGCCUGCCUGGCUCCUCUCCCCAUCCUGGGUGGGAUGUGGGGUCCGCGGGGGAUGUCACUGUGCGGGGAAGGGGGGAAGGGGCCGUGGUGCCCCAGGCCGGAAGGACAGAGGAAGAGAGGCUGAACCACAGCUGAACCUUCAUCCUCCUGUCUGUCCUCCCAGAGGCCCCGCGGGCAGCCCUCUAAGUAGCACCCCCCACCUCCAUCCCCGCAGAGGAAGGGAGGCCCUCAGGGAAGAAAGAAACUCUCUGGAAACCUUGCCUGUGAAACUCAGCCUUUGUUGCAGAAACUCGACCCCAGCCUGGGCUAAAUGCGGCUACCCUGGGCUCUGGGGGAGCCAGACCCAGGCCCGAGUCUCUCCUUCACUGAGCACGGUGAGCUGAGCCCAGAUCCCCGAGUAGGAGGACCCAAGAGAGCUGCGGGGACAUCCAGCUGGUCCAGCCACCUCCUUGCAUGUGGGCAGGUCACUGGAAGGUGUGGCUGAGACCGAGAGCCCUGCUCUGAGCUGAUGCCUGUCAUCCCAGGAGCCAUUAUGAGAAUCUCCGGGCCCCAGACUCCUGAGCGGCAGGGUCCUAAGAGUCACCGGCUUGACGCUGGCUCCUCGCAGGGGAGGAAGGUGGUUUCCAGCGAUGUCGUGGUGCUCGCCCAGUGCCACACAGCACAUGAGGGCAGAGCUGUGUCCAACAUCCCCCGAUCUCUCCACCUCCUGCAAAGACCCUCGAAGCUUCUCAGGAGCUUGGGUGUGAGCGGCCAAUAGGAUCUCCAACUUCCAGGCAGGAAUCCAGGACUAAUCCUGAUGGAUUAGCAAAGUCAUCCUAUUGCAGAGACCCCCGAUGCCCCACCUAGUUCAGACCCUUGGACUCUAGGACACUGAAAUUCUCUCCAAAAUGUGAACAAUGAAGACGUGCUUGGGAACCAGGAAAGGCUGAGCAGCUGAUGACCAUUUGGGUUUUGUGGCCUCCUUUUCAAAAGGAAAUAAAUACGGCAGAAAUGCUCUUCACAGAAGGGGCUUCAGGAUUUCAUAAAUAGACCAUAAAGAGGCAACAGAAGAACCAGCACAGCCCCAAAUCAACAUCUGUCCCCUGUCAUCUGGCUCUCCCUCCAUCAUCACCAUUCUCUCUCUCAAGAGCGAAACAAGCAUUCUUGUCUUUUGGAAAGAGAACCAUCUUCUCCCCGCCCAGACCUGCUUGGCAUCUUCCAAAGGUGGAGGAGCGUGCAUCCAAUAGGUGGGAUGGUGAGACCUGAUCUCCAUCAGUGGGCAGGGCUAAUAUUACACAUGGUUCUAAAAGUCAGGAUGCUUUUGGCAGCGAGUAACAGAACUUCCAACUAAAGGCGUCUUACACCUUUGUGGCCCAAAGCAGGGCCCAUGGAUCCAUAGCAUGAGCGUCUGCAGCCUGCAGGAAUUUGGAAUCUUAGGUUCUACCUCGGACUUACUGAAUAAGAGUCUGCACUUGCAGUAGAGCCCCAGGUGAUUCAUAUGCAUGUGAAAGUCUGCGAAGUACUAGUUUAAAUGAAAAAGGCUUUUUUUGUGUGUGUGUGUGAACUUUAAAAGAAGCCCACAAAAGACAAUUCCAAUUUGGUUAACUCAUGGGUACAAAGAUGUCAGGCCUCUAUCUCUGCAUCUUGGAGAUUUUUUUGGCUUCUGCCUCAGGGUUUCAAGAUGGCUGCUAUGGCUCCAACAUCAUCAAACCAAGUCCAAAACAAAUGAAAGGAAUAGGUGCUGGAGAAUUUUUCUUAUGUGUACCUUGGAAAAAGCUUUCCCAGAAAUCUCUAGUUGAUGUUCUUUGAGAUCCUAUUGGCUAGAAGUGGCUGGCAGGCCCACUCUUAAACCAGUCGCAAGUGAUGGGGAGUAGGUUUACUGGGAUCGGCCUUUGAACCACUGACCAAUCAAGUGUCUCCUCUUAGGGAUGGGAUAGGGCCACCUUCUCCAUCACAUCAUCAUGUACCAGAGACUUGAAACGUGCUGUCUUACAACCAAUGAAUCAGAUAUGAGUGCCGGCUUAUCUGGGAUUAGGAAACUGAAAGCCACAGGGUUUCUGUGUCCUGCACACAUUCAGAGCAAGCAGAAGCAGAGCCAGCUUUGUGCCAAGGGGCUUGAAUCCAGGGGCAGAGCUCAUCCCACGAUGCUCACACCAGGACCACGGUCCCCUUGAGUGAACUUGCAGGAAACAAAGGCAUUUCCCGUGUUCACUUGUGUCCAACGCUGCCUUGUCUACUUAGCACAAAACCUUUAUUAAGUUAGGGCUGCUUAGCAUAAUGCUCCUUUGCUCCGGCACCCCCGCAGUGAUCAGACUGAGUGCAUCUCGGAGUCUAGCAGGAUUCUUGACGCAUGGCGGGACCUCGUCAUGAUUUGCCUCAUUUAAUGGAAUUGCAUUAUGAUGCUUUGCACACUUCAUCACACCUAACAGUGUUUUGCACAGAGUUGUUUAACAAACGCUUGCAGAAUGACUAUAUGACCAAUCAAUUAGUUCCCUUUCAAUUGAGCACUUAACUUUGUCCCUACAAAUGCAUGAGAUAAAAUGGCUGCAAAAGUGCUUUUAUUUCCUCCCAACCAUUAUCCCAAUCAAAUGCUUCUCUAAGCUUCAGAGAGCAUGAUGAUUUGGUUCUUUUGAUUUUAAGCUCAGAUCUUUUCAGUUUUGAUAAAUGCAGGUUUGGAAAUGUGUGAAAUGUAUCAUGGGGCUGCUGUGAAGCUGUGAUGCGGGUGAACAAUUUAAAAAAUUCUUCAGGAGGUUUGUACGCUUUAGAAAUGAUGGCAAGUUGUGGAACGGGACUCAGCAGAGUCAGUUUUAGGGAAUUUGUUUCAGGGCACUAACUGCAGCUCGGCCAGCCAAGCGGCCAACUUGGAUGUGACUCCCGAGAGACAAGCUGGCCUUGAUGAAUGGGGCCAAGCUCUGCGAGUGCCGGAUUCCCAUCCCAGCGGGGCCACCUAUUUUCUGACAAUUGGCGGCUCUGUUCUCUCCCGGUGUGUGGUGGGACCAGGAGGACAAUUGCCUUCAGCCCUCAGAGGAUAAAGCAAUUGUCCUCUUGACUUCCACGCAGUCCUGCUUCUAAGUGACCUCCUAGGGUUUAUCUAUGGUGAGACCUCUGGGUAUCUAAUCGCUCUCUGCUUUGAGCUGAAAGGAGGACUCUGGGAAACAGAGCUGAGAAGCAGGAAAGGAGCGGGGGUGGGGGUGUCAGUUCUUCCCCUGAGCCCAUUCUCCAAAAGGACGCCUUUGUGACAAUGCUUUGAAGGUAAUAUGCUGAUGUGAGCACAAUUAAGGCAGUGAUGAGAGGGCUUUAGAGAGGACAGCGUGAGAUAAGCAUCCCAAGCCUCGUCCUGGAAACAGAGGGAGCGGCUCUGAGCACUCACCUGUUCACCAGCCCCUGAAGACACAGGUGCCACCCUGACCUCCCCCAGCCCAUGUAGCCCCAUUAGAGCCAGCCUGCACCUCUGAAUCUGCUACUAACCAGAGGGAAAGACUGGGAGAAUUCAUUGCUCCUUCUCAGAGGAGGAAGAUCUAGGGCUGUGAAGGUGGCAGGCACCCUUUCUCCUCUGUGUUCUGUGGCGUGUGUGGUUAACAUCACAGCCGCUGUGGAGACUGUCAAGAGCCCAAGUCCAGGACUCCAGCCCUCAGUCACUAGAGCGGCUUCAGUGCCUGGGAGUUGCCCCUCCUGGGGCGGGGUGGUGGUGGUGCAACGCACCUCCAUUGUUGCUGAGAAGACUAAUCACUCUGCAACAGCAACAGCUGGCUGGGACACAGGUCUUUGAAAUGGGACCGGUGCCAUUCCCGUGUCACCCAGAAACCUCUUAGCAUUCUCACCUCUGCACUUAGAGAUCAGCCAGCACUGGUGAACACCUGUAGCUGUCUCAUUCUGCACCAGGUGACAGCCACACCUGAAAGCCACCCUCAUGUUCACAUGCACGGGCGGUUGAGUUCAGGUUCCAAAAACUCUCAUGAAGGAGCUCAGUACCAUCCGUCAAUUGAAGCGUGACUGUGGUAGAUCCAUUCAACGAACUAGCCAGCCAUGAAAAGGAAGGGAGGUUCUGCAGCAGGGAUUCACCUUGGAAACCUACAGCUUGUAUUUCAUCCACGUGCUAGAUCCAGAAUGGGCGUGGUCAUCGAACCAGCGACAGGACUGUUCAGAAGCAGAGUUAUGGGACCCAGGGUUGAAACCUUCUCGGAAGAGAAAGAUAUCAUAAGGCAGGCACUCAGAAGAGGGCAGAAGAACCACUUCCUCAUUGAAGCUGGAGCUUUGAAAGGAGCAUGUGCAGUGACUCUGCAGCAAGGAGGAUGCAGAGGUUCUUGGACACAGGCUGACUCCGGCCCCUGGAUGUUGUCUGGCUGCAUCGUGAGGACCAGUUGCCUGUGGCUGUGACGGAGGAGGCGCCACCAGGAGCAGCAUCCAUCCUCUGUGGCUCUGACCUCAGGGCUGCAGGGCUGAGGGCUCCUUGGGGCCGGUGGGCGUGGCCCCACAGGGUCAGCCCGGGUCUCACCUGCGGGGGCCAGGCAGAGCUCUCUGGGCCAGGAUCCCACUCGGGCUCCGUCCAGAAGCUGGACUCAGCCAGGAAAGCCAGGCCCACCCUCCUUGCAAACCCUGUUUACAUCCAAGUGGGAUCCUCUGAAGGCCAAGACCAACCGGCACAAAUGGUCUGUUUAUUGAGGACAAGAACAGCUGAGUCCUUCAGGCCGCCUCUUUGGAGAGAGAGGGGCUGGUAGACGGGGGGGGACGCGCUGGCUGCGCUUCCUGCGUCCCGGGCCACUGUCCACCCGGGAAAGUCCUCCAGGUCCGGGCUCUCCUUCCCAGCUGGCAGCGGGGCUGCGGGCAGCUCCUCCGUCCCAGGUCCUGGCAGGGCUGCUCCGCGACAGGUGCUGAGCACCGUGAACUGGGUCUGAGCUGCUGUCAUGCUCGCGGUUGUUAGGACCAGAGGGACACUUCUGGCACUGACUUGAGGACAUGACCAACGUCUCAAAGGGGAGGUGGGGACAAAGGCUCCGUUCAUUGCAGGACACUUGUUUGUUCAACCCCCGACACCGAGCAGCACCAACGUCUCAGAAAUUCCAACGAGCGAAACUUUUUUUGGUGCGUGGUUGGUGCCCGGUCGGCAGAGCAUCUGCACAGACCCGAGGAUCCCUGACUCUCAGCCUGAUGCUGAAUGUCCGCUUUCUCCUUUCUCAUGCCUCUUUCUCUGUCUCCCCCUUUCUGUCAAAUUGCCCUGAACACACGCCUCAUUCUAUGAAACGCAGGCCCCGCGUCUUCUGAGAAGUAGAACAGCCUGACUGAUGAGAGAUGCGUCCUUGAUUAGGCCGCGCGUUUGAAUCCUG
Sus scrofa (pig) is the source of this 5362-nucleotide long non-coding RNA. RefSeq lists it as uncharacterized. Lineage: Eukaryota; Metazoa; Chordata; Mammalia; Artiodactyla; Suidae. The record is from RefSeq and is a predicted model, not a curated record.